GCAGGUGUUGUAGCAAAACUCACUACAAAAGAGGGUAAAUCGGCCACUUUAAGAUUACCAUCUGGGGAGGUCCGUUUAGUAUCCCAAAACUGCUUAGCAACAGUCGGACAAGUGGGUAAUGUUGGGGUGAACCAAAAAAGUUUGGGUAGAGCACUUCUUGGAUCUGUCAAUUAUGCUAUGGCCGGAGUCCUACUCAUAGUGAUCUGGUCGAAUUGGGAGAAGUCGUAG
RNAcentral lists this ribosomal RNA (228 nucleotides) under Triticum aestivum (bread wheat). Its description in RNAcentral is "partial small subunit ribosomal RNA". Lineage: Eukaryota; Viridiplantae; Streptophyta; Magnoliopsida; Poales; Poaceae. The record is from RNAcentral.